UACGGAGGGUGCAAGCGUUAUCCGGAUUCACUGGGUUUAAAGGGUGCGUAGGUGGGUUGGUAAGUCAGUGGUGAAAUCUCCGAGCUUAACUUGGAAACUGCCAUUGAUACUAUCAGUCUUGAAUAUUGUGGAGGUCAGCGGAAUAUGUCAUGUAGCGGUGAAAUGCUUAGAUAUGACAUAGAACACCAAUUGCGAAGGCAGCUGGCUACAUAUAUAUUGACACUGAGGCACGAAAGCGUGGGGAUCAAACAGG
This 253-nucleotide ribosomal RNA is filed under the name uncultured bacterium. RNAcentral describes it as "partial 16S ribosomal RNA". It matches the Rfam family "Bacterial small subunit ribosomal RNA", at positions 524 to 776 of the family's 1533-position model. The record is from RNAcentral.